RNAcentral lists this unclassified non-coding RNA (209 nucleotides) under Hevea brasiliensis (rubber tree). The record is from RNAcentral. Lineage: Eukaryota; Viridiplantae; Streptophyta; Magnoliopsida; Malpighiales; Euphorbiaceae.
UGUUUAAAACUACAAAACACAAUCAUUGUCUUUGAUUCUUCCCAUGCAUUGUGGUGGGUUGGGUGUUAAAGAUAUUUCUAUUCACAAUCAAGCCUUGCUUUUCAAAUGGCUUUGGAGAUUUAAUCAACAAAGGGAUUCACUUUCGGAGCAAGUUCUUCGAUCAAAAUAUUCUUUUCAAACUAAAUGUUGUCUCUCUCUGGCUUUGGGCA